UUCUAACACGGACCAAGGAGUCUAACAUGUGAGCGAGCGAUUGAGCUCUUGUCUAAGCUCAAACGCACAAUGAAAGUGAAGUACCACCUUGUUGUGGUAUGAGCGGAGAUCAUCAUCAGAUUUAUUUGGUGGUGCGCAUCCGCGGGCCGCGUCAUCGGCUAGCUUGAUUACCUUCCAGGGGGUGGUCACUGCUGAGGCGCGGACCAAGAGUUGACACGUUGUGACCCGAAAGAUGGUGAACUAUGCCUGGCCAGGAUGAAGCCAGGGGAAACCCUGGUGGAAGUCCGUAGCGAUUCUGACGUGCAAAUCGAUCGUCUGAGCUGGGUAUAGGGGCGAAAGACUAAUCGAACCAUCUAGUAGCUGGUUCCGCCUGAAGUUUCCCUCAGGAUAGCUGGCACUUGAGGAAACGGAGUUUCAUCCGGUAAAGCGAAUGAUUAGAGGAUACGGGUUGUUUAUUGACUCGACCUAUUCUCAAACUUUAAAUGGGUGAGAGGUCUCGCUGUCUUUUGUGCAGCUGCGACUUUGAAUCCGAGUGCCCAGUGGGCCACUUUUGGUAAGCAGAACUGGCGAUGCGGGAUGAACCGCAUGUCGAGUUAAGGUGCCUAAACGGACGCACAUCAGACACCAUGAAAGGUGUUGAUUGCUCACGACAGCAGGACGGUGGCCAUGGAAGUCGGAAUCCGCUAAGGAGUGUGCAACAUCUCACCUGCCGAGCAACCUAG
Molecule: ribosomal RNA, 722 nt
Filed under: Parasacculina sinensis
Lineage: Eukaryota; Metazoa; Arthropoda; Thecostraca; Polyascidae
Description: partial 28S ribosomal RNA
Rfam family: Eukaryotic large subunit ribosomal RNA
Source: RNAcentral